GAAUGGAAAGAAAGAGAGAGAAUAAAAAAGAGAGAGGGUGAGAUAUUCAAACAUUACUAUUAAUUUCUUGUUUCUCAUCCCCUCUCUCUUUCUUCUCUCUUCUUCUUUCGAUUU
Molecule: microRNA precursor, 114 nt
Filed under: Prunus dulcis (almond)
Lineage: Eukaryota; Viridiplantae; Streptophyta; Magnoliopsida; Rosales; Rosaceae
Description: sRNA ncRNA
Source: RNAcentral